Molecule: transfer RNA, 77 nt
Filed under: Curtobacterium sp. MCSS17_016
Lineage: Bacteria; Bacillati; Actinomycetota; Actinomycetes; Micrococcales; Microbacteriaceae
Description: tRNA-Gly
Rfam family: tRNA
About the family: Transfer RNA (tRNA) molecules are approximately 80 nucleotides in length. Their secondary structure includes four short double-helical elements and three loops (D, anti-codon, and T loops). Further hydrogen bonds mediate the characteristic L-shaped molecular structure. tRNAs have two regions of fundamental functional importance: the anti-codon, which is responsible for specific mRNA codon recognition, and the 3' end, to which the tRNAs corresponding amino acid is attached (by aminoacyl-tRNA synthetases). tRNAs cope with the degeneracy of the genetic code in two manners: having more than one tRNA (with a specific anti-codon) for a particular amino acid; and 'wobble' base-pairing, i.e. permitting non-standard base-pairing at the 3rd anti-codon position.
Source: RNAcentral
GCGGCAGUAGCUCAGUUGGCCAGAGCACCUCGUUGCCUACGAGGGUGUCGCCGGUUCGAAUCCGGUCUGCCGCUCCA